Molecule: long non-coding RNA, 9485 nt
Filed under: Brachypodium distachyon (stiff brome)
Lineage: Eukaryota; Viridiplantae; Streptophyta; Magnoliopsida; Poales; Poaceae
Description: long non-coding RNA (BDIS_LNC004353)
Source: RNAcentral
CAUGAAUCAUGAGUGCUCUAAGACGUUUUCAGUUGAGUCACCAUACUAAAAUGUUACGUUUUUUAGAAUAACUCAGUAGGUAGGAGAAUAUUGUACAUUAUUAUUAACAGUAAGUUAUGUGAGUGGCAAAAUAGUAGUCAGUAAUAUCUGAGCACUAAGAUCUUUUCACUUUUUCAGUUCAAUCAUCGUACUAAAAAGUUACUUCUUUAUAGAGCAAGACAGUAGGUAGGAGAAUAUUGUACAUUAUUACAAGUUAAUAAUAAGUAAAUAAUUCACACAUCAAUGCAAAAGACAAUACAUAUCAUAAUUAAGUAAGAGUGGUUGCUCAAGUCAAAUUUGAGGUGUUUAUUUGUUUCUACUGUUGGUGACGACCAAGGAGGAACGAACCAGCUUACAAGGAGCCUAGCCACCGAGUGGGCCCAUGACAAGAUUCGUGUGAAUGCCAUCGCGCCAGGCUUCAUCACCAGCGACAUGACAAAUAGUGUAAGCAACAAUCAAUCACCAGAUGAAUAAUCCAAGUUAUCCUUAUGACCAACACUAAUUUGUUCUCCUCUGCUAAUCACCAAUCCAUAACUAUUUAUGUUUGCAACUGAACAGUUAGAGUUGGAGAUCCUAGAGGAGGAGAACUCCAAGACCCCGAUGCGGCGGAUUGGCGAGCCGGUGGAGGUCGCUGCGGCUGUGUCAUUCCUUUGUAUGCCAGCGGCCUCCUACAUUACCGGCCAGGUCAUUUCUGUCGAUGGUGGACGCACCAUUAGUGCUUAACUGAUGCUAUUUACCAUGCACACAUGUGGAAUGUACAUCUGGGAAAAUAAAUAUCGGCAACAUCCCAAAAAUGUAGUGGAAACUGGGUACUGCAAUUUAAGCCACCGAUCACAAGAGGUCUUCUCGAAAGUACAAUAUAUAAGAUCCAGCUUCCUUGAUCCUUAUCACUCGGAUCAUGGUCAUCGCCACCGGUAGAGGUAGUUUCUGUUUUAUUAUGCGUUGUAACUUGGCCUCCACCCUCCUCAUCAUCGAUCAACAUUUGUUCGAAGAAAUAGUCUGUCAGUCUGUCUCCAUCACUGAAAACUUAUGGCACUACAGCACAUGUACAAGAAGAACAGAUUAGGAGGCAAUUAAGACUCUUCGAGGCAGUUAUGUAUUAGGUGGAGAGAACUGUUUACUCAUGUACUUGCAUGGCAGAUGAAAUUUCACUGUCAAGUUGAAAUAAUCUACUAUACAAUUCUAAAUGUGUUUCUAGAAACCGGCUCUCCGACAUUAUCACUACGUGUCCGAUGCUCUGUAACUACGUGUUUACAAACUGCAUGCAUGCCCUGCGUGAAAGUCUGAACUUAACGGUCAGGUAGGCCAUAUAGGCUCGAUCAUAGGCACGAAGAAUCCACAUCUUGCCUGAGAGUUUACUCCCGCGUUUCAAAAAAAUUGCAAGCACAAGAAAGAAUUUAAUUUUUUUUAUCUCGCCGCCGGCUCAGCACGGUCCUGCCAGCCGGAGCCGGCCACUCCGUGACAAUAGGUUCAGUGCUGGAUAGAGACCAUCGAUACACCUUUGAAGUCAGUUUCAAAAAAUACACCUUUGAAGCCUGCAUUUGGAGCUGUGUCCGUGGACGCUCAUAUACCUUCUGCUGCUGCGUUCUGUCCUGUUCGACCGUGCCUUGGCUUGAUCUCCGUGGAAUCCAACAAUAUACAAUACAGUUUUGCAACAUUUAAGUUGUCUGAUUUUUAGUUUGAGAUAAGUUGUUUCCUCAGCAGUUUGACAUGAUUUGUGCUUUAAGAUUCGAAAAGGAUGAUGAAAAAAGGGAUAAAAUGAGAUUUAGAUACUAAUCCAAUGAGUCUGGUUGGUCAACUUAGAUCUAACCCUUUUGCUUCAAAAUCAACCAACAUAUAUAUAGCCACACACCCUAUUUGUUAGCAUUGGAACACUUGACAAAGUCUACAGCUUACUGACGGCCAGUUGGCAUUAUUUUGAUAAUCAACAACAGAGGGCUUUAAUUUAUGACUGCCGGAAGAAAGAGAACUGCAAGAGUACUGUUAAUCACAUGGAAAGUCUUCGGUAAUAAUCUAUUCUUUGUUUGUGUAACUAACAGUCUAACAGCUAGAGAUUAAUUAGUUUUGUAAAGUCAGUUGCAGAUUAAUUAUGAUUGCUUGAGCGUGUUCCCCUAGCUAACAAACCUAAGCGAGAUGCACACCCACUAGCUAUAUAUUUUACAAACCACAUGCGAAUGAUAUCUAGAAAAAUUAAUGAAGUCUUAAUCAAGGUCAUCUAGUACAAAAAGAUUAAGCGUUGGCUGGCUCAGGCCACUCACUGCCAAUUGGCCGGUCCUUGUCGUCGUACGUUUGGCACCGGCAUUACAUAUAACUUCCAUACACCAUUGAACCAUAUACAUCCAAGGCAAAUUAGUUGUCUGGCAAACAGAUAGAGAUCGAUCCAUGGCAGCUACCGGCGCGAGCAGGGAGGAACGGUGGAGCCUGGCAGGCGCGACGGCGGGUCGGCGCUCGUCACCGACGGCAGCAAAGGGAUCGGGUAACGUAUAUAUACUGUAUAUACGUACGACGUAUGCAAUCACAUAGGCAUCUUUCAUGCACGUCUAGCUAAAUUAAUCGUGUGCUUGCUGGAUGAUUGUUGGAUGGAUCUGCAGGCAUGCGAUCGUGGAGGAGCUGGCGGGGUUCGGGGCGCGUGUGCACACGUGCUCCCGGAACGCGGCGGAGCUCGAGGAGCGCCGCCGGGCGUGGGAGGAGAAGGGGCUUCAGGUCACCGUCUCCGUUUGCGACGUCUCCUCGCGCGACGACAGGGAGAAGCUCAUGGAGACGGUGAAGCAUACCUUCGUCGGCAAGCUCGACAUACUGGUAACUAAACUGAAUAAUAUACCCAUGUACAUGUGCAUCAAUUGAUGCAGAGAAAAACUACCGUUAUCCUUUUUCAUGUGCAUGUGUGUGUCCUAUGUUUGUAAAAGAAAUUAUGUUUUGUUAGGCACUAUUCAUGCAUAAAUUUUGGUAGGCACUAGUUAAUUGACCAUUUGUCUAAGAGGAAACAAACACAUUAUUAGGCUGCCUCUAGUUAGGAUAAGCGUGUGAAAGUGGCCUACACACAUUUAGAUAGAAUCAUUAGCAAUAAAAGAAGUUCGAAAACAUAUGAAACACAACUAUGUAGGCCAAUGUGCCUAGCUAAUUUCACAUCCAGGCUGACCUAAAUAAAUGCCGACAAUCGGCCUAGCGAAAGAAAUACUGUAAACUUAAGAUUCAAACAGUGGCCCAAAUAUCUUUCAAAGAAGAGUAAAUUUCACAAAACCACAUUUCUUGGGACUAGGGUUUCAGGCCACAGUUAUGACUAAUAGUCUCACAAAACCACACUUUUUCGGAUAGAUCUUCUCAAAGAACCCAAAUCAGGUAAUUAAGAUCGUUUGAUGGUGUUUCUGACAAGUGGGACCCACAUGUACAUUAUUAUUAACAGUAAGUUAUGUAAGUUCCAAAUUAAUAAUAAGUAAUUCACAUCAGGGCAAAAGACAAUACAAAUCAUAAUUAACUAAGAAUCUCUAGUCAAAUUAAAUUUGAGGUGUUUAUUUGUUUCUGUUGUUGCUGACGACGAAGGAGGAAUGAACCAACUUACAAGGAGCCUAGCCACCGAGUGGGCCCAUGACAAGAUUCGUGCGAAUGCCAUCGCCCCAGGCUUCACAAACAGUGACAUGAUAAGACAUGUAAGCAACUAUCAAUAACCACAUGAAUGAUCCAAGUUAUCCUUAUGAACAACACUAAUUUGUUUGUUUCUGCUAGUAAACCACCGAUCAAUAAUUAUCUAUGCUUGUAUUGUACAGAUAGACCCGGAGGUCCAAGAGCAGGAGUACUCCUGGAUCCCAAUGCGGAAGAACGGCGAGUCGGUAGAGAUCGCUGCGGCGGUGUCAUUCCUCUGUAUGUCAGCAGCCUCCUACAUUACCGGCCAAGUCAUCACCGUCGAUGGUGGAUGCACCAUCAGUGCAUAACCCAUGCUAUUUACCAUGCACACGUGUGAAAUGUAUAUUGGAUAGUACAAUUUAAGCCAGAUCGCAAGUGGGCUACUACCAUAGAGAGGCUUAUCAGUAACGGUCGAAAAACAACAUCAGUAACGGUCGGGGCCGCCGUUACUAACUUCCUGUUACUGAUGAUGGGUUUCAUCAGUAACGGUCGCUCCAACCGUUACUGAUGUACCUAUCAUCAGUAAUGGUCGCUGCGCCGAUGUACCAUCAUCAGUGGCGGGCGGCACGACCUGACCGUUACUGAUGAAGGUCACGUUUCCGCACCCGUCACUGAUGAUAUGUACAUCAGUAACGGUCGCUUUGCCACAUCAGUGUCGGGCGAGCGACCGACACUGAUACAUUUUACGUAAUUAAAAAAUUAAUUAAAACCAUAGAAAAAUAUAUAUUUGAAUACACAACACAGCAUAGAAAAAUACACAGCCACAUCAUUUAAAGCAUACAAAUGUAUAGAAAGCCGCAUCAUUUAAAAUAUAUAAAGAAUACAAAUGUAUCUCACUUCACGACAUUGAUUACAAAGUGUCAAAAUCUCAUAGCAAAAUCAAGUUUUAAGCUAUUGUUGUGGGUGAACCCUAGUCAUCACUUGUUCCACGCGUUCGUAGAAGUCCCCACUAGGCUUGAUGACCUCAUUGUUGAUGAGAUGGGCGAACUCCCUUUGAAUGUUAUACACGACCCAUUUAGGUCAGUGUGCCAUUGUCAUUCGGGGCUGCCAGUACUCUUCCAUCGCUGCGAUUGACCCCUUCCACUCAGGCUUGAACAUGCUGGCAUUCUCCAUAAGGAUGUGACAGCAGUAGUAGCCACAGUACACACUGCCGGCCGGCUGUUGCUGGCAAGAGAACCUGUGGUUGUGGUGAGGCUCGUCUUUAUAGCCUUUACCAGCUAGUUUUCCCUUGGUCGCAACUUUCCAGGCAGUGUUAAUGAGUGAUUUGAUGGGUUUCCAGUAGCGACCUCGAACACCUUUCUUCGGAAGUAGUGAAUCGAAAUAGUACACCGCGGACAAAGGCAAACAAAUGAGUAGUGUCACCCAAUGGUCUCUGUUUUCAAAAGAAACAAACUUUAGUAUCUAAGGGUGUAUAAGAAAGACUGAGUCCCGUCAGUGCUGAGACUGAGCCUGAGCCUCAGGUUUCUGGGCUCUGCCCCGAAAUCUGGAAAUGCCGUGUCGAAGUUCCUCCACUGAGUCCCAUCGGCAAGGUGUCUUAGGACCCCAGCUUCCUCCACACGGUAGUGCCCGUCAGGAUCGAAUGCUGCCUGCGCCGGAUCGCGAUGGACGAGAUACCUCGCGUCCUUAACGUUCUACAUCCAACGCUCAACUCGGCCACCUGCCGUAAGAUACCGGACAGUCUUUGUCGGCCUGCCCUUCAUCACUUCUUUCCCAUCGUCUUCGCCAGCUCUGGCGUUUUUCUUCUUCUAUCUCGAUGCACCGCAUAUGUGGCAGCUCUCAUGGUUCUCGAACUCUCCAAUGUAUACCAUGCAGUCGUUUUGACAUGAAUGAUGUUUCACACAAUCUAAUCCAAGCGGGCAUGUAAUCUUCUUCGCCUCGUACGUGCUCUUGGGCAACUUGUUUGGCUGUGGAAAAACCGAAGCAAGGUAACUUAACAAGUCCGGGAAGCCCUUGUCUGACCAGCAUGAUGUUGCCUUCAGUCUCAAAAGUUCGAGCGUUACUUCGAGCACGUUGUUUUCUUCGCCGGCUCCAUCAUACAAGGGUGUAUUUGCGUCCUCCAACAAUUUUUGAACUGAGCAGACUCUGCCUCAUCUUCGGGGUCCUCCAGCUGGUCCCGUAGGUACAGGUCAUCUAGCAUUUCGGCAAUUCUGCCACGUGGAGCUCCUUCACCUUCCACAGUAGCCUCCUCGUCGACCCUUGUUUCUUCCUCAGAAUCCUUUGCCAGAUCAUAGCGCAGGACAUCAUCAUCUUCGCUACCGCUACCGACAUCAACCGCAUCCUCCCCGUGACAAGUCCAGCGAGAAUAACCUUUCACAAAACCCGAUGCCAGUACGUGCAUCUGAACAUCUUCAGGUUUCAUCAUGCAUGUGUUUCCACAUUUGAGACAUGAACAACACAUCAUCACAAGUCAUUUUCGUUCCAUAUCACCUUUCGCGACUCCAAAAAAGACCGUCCAUUCAGUUACCCAUCGAGCAUUGAUUCUUUCCGUGGCGUACAUCCAAGAACGGUCAUUCGAUCUACAACACAAUACAAAAGAAAACACAAAGCAAAAUAGUUAGCCGGCCUAAUCAUUAACAAGGGGAUUAAGAUGUUAAUUAACCGGGGCUAACUAAAAAAUUGAAAUUAGAGACAAUCGGAGAGAAAUUGGAGGCCGGCGAGAAAGAUCGGGAGGGGGAGAGAGCUCGCAAGGGAGAGGGAAGCUCCGGGCGUCACGAGGAGGCCGCAUUUUGGCCGGCGGCCGGAUCUCCAAAAUUUGAAAUUGGGGAACUUCGGAGAGAAAUUGGAGGCCGGCGAGAUAGAUCAGGAGGGAGAGAGAUCUCGCAAGGGAGAGGGAAGUUUCAGGCUCGAAGAUUGGAGCUCGCCGGAGAUGGGCCGCCGCCGGCCAUGGAGAUGGGCGCCGCCGGCCGGGGGAGAGAGGAGGAAGGGAGAGGGAGGAGGAGGGGCUACCUGGGCUCACCGGCGGCCAUGGCGGCCGAUUUGGGCAGGGCUUUGUCGUCGGCGAGGAAGAAGGUCCGCAGCUGGUCCGUUACGACGCGCAACGCGACCAGCUGCGGCCCUGUCCUGCGUAUUUAAACCGCGACCCUCAUCAGUGGCGGUCGUGACUUGGGCGACUGUUACUGAUAAUAGGGGGUACAUCAGUAAUUGUCGCUUUAACUCGGCCCGUUACUUAUGUACCACACAUGAUCAGUAACGGUCGGGCCAAGAGCGACCGUUACUGAUAUGUACCACACAUCAGUGGCGGGCACGUUAGGGCGACCGUUACUGAUGCGUGGUUCAUCAGUAACGGUCGUCUCUUAACCGACCGCCACUGAUGUCUCUUGCGAGAAAUGAUGGUCGCGCGACCGCCACUGAUGUAUGGCUGGGCGGGUACGGACAGACCUUGCUCUGUUCAUCAGUAAUGGUCGAGGCCGUGACCGACACUGAUGUUGUUCAUCAGUAACUGAUGUGCCGUGAGAUAUAGCCCGUUUUGUAAUAGUGACUUCUCAAAAGAUAAAAAUAAGUCCAGCUUUCCUUGGUCCUUAUAACUUGGAUCAUGGUUAUCGCUGGUAGUUUCUGUUUUAUAUAUUAUGGACGACGGCACCUCAUUAAUUUUGUGCUGUGCCUAGCCUUGGCCUCCACCCUCGUCAUCGUCGCUGUUGUUCUAAGAUAUAGUCUAUGUCAUCACUAAAAAAAGAACAUAUGGCAGUGCAGCACAUGUGCAAGAACAGAUUAGGAAGCAAUUAAGACUCUUUGAGGCAAUUGUAGGUGUAGAGAGCUGCUGUUUCUUUUCUAUACUUGGCAGAUAAAAUUUGACUGAAGUUGAAAUAAUUUACAUAUUCCGAGAAACCAGCUCUCCGUCGUUACCGUUAAUUAAGUUUCCGAGGCUCUGACUACGUGUUUAUAAACUGCCCUCCAUGAGAGGCUAAUUUUUUUUUUGAGGUUAAAGGCUGUAGGCAAAAAUGCCUACAGUCAUAUAUUAAAAAAAAAGAGUAACUGUACAAGUGGUAAAAAAGAAAAGAAAAAACUAGUGGGAGCUAUCUGAAAAUUUGGUUGUUGGCUCUCAGGAUGUGGUUCAUUCACAACCAACACUAACCACCAAACAACUGGCUUUCCCAUGAUAUUCCCAUGACCUGUUCUGAAAAUUGUUUUUUGGACACGGACAGACGUUUGUCUCCUGGGAUCAAUGGAUCCUGGUAUUUUCAAGAGUUUAGAAGUAUUUAAGAAGUUUUGAAAAUGUUCCCGUUUAUACAUGUAUACUUCAUCAUAAAGAAGCACGGUAGUUUUUGUAUGGAGAAAAAUGUUGAUAUAUAUGUGUGUCUGUGAUUUAUAUUAGCAAAUAUUUGUUUUAUUUUGUCAGGCCCAUAAACGGAAACAUUAUUCAUGAAUUUUUUUUUGUGGGUACAUAGUGAGCAUCUAAAUGUACAUAUAUAAAGAGAACUCAGAAAUGUUUUCAAAAGUUUGGAUAUACGAUAGUAGCACCAACUGAAGGUAGACAUCCGGGCCAAAUAGUGGCUCAAAACAAGUCGGGCUCAGCCCGCUAGGAAAAAAGCCCAAACCAAGCUUAAUAUUCUAACUCGGGUCUGUCCAGCUCGACAAGCCGCGUCGAGUUGGGCCCAGAAAGAACUAGCCCAUCCUCCUUGGCCCAGCAAUCCAACAGUCUGGGGGUUUUGGAAGCACGAAAAAUUACAAAUUUUCACAGGAGACCGAGUCCAGCUAGCUCGGUCCUUGGAGUUAUCGGAUUAAUUAGCGGACUCCAGCUACUCUAAUAACAUACAUACGUUAUGCUUAUGCAUAUGCCGCCGAGAUGGCCGGCUGCUUUUGGAGGCGAUCCUAUAACUUUUGUUGCUGCAUUCUGUUCUGUUCGAUGGUUGCUUGGCGGAUCGGCCGCCCUCCAUGGAAUCCAGCUAUAUAUGAUAAUCUCCAAGGCCCAAUUACACAUCUUGCAGCUAAUACUGGGAGAAGCACUACGAGUGCGCUAGAGAGAGAUGGUGGCAGGCGGCGGCGGCGGCUUGAGCAGGGAGGGGCGGUGGAGCCUGGCCGGCGCGGCAGCGCUCGUCACCGGCGGCAGCAAAGGGAUCGGGCAUGCAAUCGUGGAGGAGCUGGCCGGGUUCGGGGCCCGUGUGCACACCUGCUCCCGGAACGCGGCGGAGCUCGAGGAGUGCCGCCGCCGGUGGGAGGAGAAGGGGCUCGCCGUCACCGUCUCCGUAUGCGACGUCUCGAUACGUGCCGAGAGGGAGAAGCUCAUGGAGACCGUCAAGAACUUUCAGGGGAAGCUUGACAUUCUGGUACUGAAUAUUUUUUUUUCUAUUGCUAGCCAGACUAGUACGGUGUCUCACAGAGUUGUGGAAAAUGGUAUUUAACCAAUUCUAAUUAAUUUCUUAACUCGAACGACGUGUUAAUUUGUCCGUCAUAUUUCGCGUAGGUAAACAACGCGGGGCAAUUGCUUUUCAAUGCGCCUACGGAUUGGACCUCGGAGGAGUACUCACAUCUCAUGGCAACUAACUUGGAAUCGAGUUUCCACCUUAGCCAGCUUGCGCACCCGCUCCUCCUUUGCUCGCCCAUCGCCGGAGGGGCUAGCGUCGUCAACAUCUCAUCCAUUGGAGGAUUGGUCGGUUUCCCAGGCAUUGCGGUUUAUGCCGUCACCAAAGGUACACAUACAUAUUCACACUUUUCAAGAUCGCAAUAGAUUUAUUAAUUAUGCAUGUUAAAAUGACCUUAUUAGAUAUUUGAGGUGUUUAUUUAUUUUCUAUUGUUGGUAAACCAUGAAGGAGCAAUGAACCAGCUUACAAGGAGCUUGGCCACUGAGUGGGCCCAUGACAAGAUUCGUGUGAAUGCCAUCGCCCCAG